Non-coding RNA from Danio rerio (zebrafish), 731 nucleotides. Lineage: Eukaryota; Metazoa; Chordata; Actinopteri; Cypriniformes; Danionidae. The record is from RefSeq and is a predicted model, not a curated record.
GUUGAGUGGACUGAGUGUGUGGGCGAGAGCGUGUGGCUGCCGUAUGAGGCACUUCGACAAAAAUAACAAGCUUCAACCUUCCCAGGGAGUGCAUUCAAAAAUUCUUUCCCUCCAGGACAUGCUUCACUUUCCCAUUUCCAACUGCUCCAGAGAAAAUGUCCACUCUGGAGAGCUUGAGUCCUGCUGACCUUUCCACUGAGUUCCUGGAGGUCACCAAACGUUUCUGUAAGUUUGUCUUUGACAAGAGCGAAGUGAAGCGACUGAAAGAUGGACACACGGUCACUGGCAGAGUUCUGGGUAAUCUAACAAAGAUGUACGUGAACACAAUCUCCAGUGGGGCUGUGCCUUGUCUGGAGAACGCAGUGAUUGCCAUGGCCCAGAUUGAGAAUGUGGCCGCAAGGCAGGAGGGUCUGCAGGUGUACCAGAAAUGAAUGGAGAAGGUUAAGUGCUCCUUCCCCCUGGAGCUGGAGGAAGUCUCCUCAGAGCACCAGCGCCUCACCAGCAUGGCUACGCAAGCCUUCAUGGCUCGAUCAUUCAAGGACACUGAUGGGAAGCACCUGAAGGUUCUUGAGCUACAAUGACUGAAAAACACAAGCAAGGCUUCUAUGCUAAACCUGGUGGCUAUGAUGUCUUCUGCAAAGAUCUGGAGGACAUUUUGAAGACGUACAAAAGCCAGGCUAAAAAGGAAGUCCAGGCCCAGCGCACCCGGGGCGCGGCUCAGCCAGGCGUCG